RNAcentral lists this ribosomal RNA (231 nucleotides) under Geoanaerobacter pelophilus. Its description in RNAcentral is "partial 23S ribosomal RNA". It matches the Rfam family "Bacterial large subunit ribosomal RNA", at positions 561 to 785 of the family's 2925-position model. Lineage: Bacteria; Pseudomonadati; Thermodesulfobacteriota; Desulfuromonadia; Geobacterales; Geobacteraceae. The record is from RNAcentral.
UGCCUACAAGCAGUGGGAGCACUAUGGAGCAAUCCAGUGUGACCGCGUGCCUUUUGCAUAAUGAGUCAGCGAGUUACCCUCAGCAGCGAGGUUAAGUUCAUAGAACGGAGCCGCAGCGAAAGCGAGUCUUAAUAGGGCGAAUUAGUUGCUGGGGGUAGACCCGAAACCGGGUGAUCUAUCCAUGUCCAGGGUGAAAGGAAGGUAACACUUCGUGGAGGCCCGAACCCACUG